Molecule: small nuclear RNA, 191 nt
Organism: Sorex araneus (European shrew)
Lineage: Eukaryota; Metazoa; Chordata; Mammalia; Eulipotyphla; Soricidae
Product: U2 spliceosomal RNA
Exons: 1
Source: RefSeq, a predicted model, not a curated record
AUUGCUUCUCGGCCCUUUAGCUAACAUCACGGGUAGUAUUUGUUCCUAUCGGUUUAACAUCUGAUACGUCCUUGAUCCCAGGACAACAUAUGAAAUGGGUUUUUGGAGCUGGGAGUUGGAAGAGGAGCUCUCUCCAUCCACUCCACGCAUCGACCUGGUGUUGCAGUACCUCCAGGAACAGUGCACCCCUC